GCCGGUGUGGUGGAAUUGGCAGACGCGAUGGACUCAAAAUCCAUUGAGGGCAACUUCGUGGGAGUUCGACUCUCCCCACCGGCA
Molecule: transfer RNA, 84 nt
Filed under: Nitrospirota bacterium
Lineage: Bacteria; Pseudomonadati; Nitrospirota
Also listed under: 1 other name
Description: Nitrospirae bacterium (sediment metagenome) tRNA-Leu
Rfam family: tRNA
About the family: Transfer RNA (tRNA) molecules are approximately 80 nucleotides in length.
Source: RNAcentral